RNAcentral lists this long non-coding RNA (1232 nucleotides) under Macaca mulatta (Rhesus monkey). RNAcentral's name for it is "lncRNA (ENSMMUG00000065024.1)". The record is from RNAcentral. Lineage: Eukaryota; Metazoa; Chordata; Mammalia; Primates; Cercopithecidae.
CCCGCGGCCCCGAGCUGGUGACAGGCGUGGACUGAUUUAGUGGCCUGAGCCCAUGCCCCUCCCCUCCCACUGCAGUCCCAGCAGCCCCCACUGCUGGGGGCUACCAAGGGCUCCACCCCCUGGGGACGAGGAGAGUCUCAUUAUGAGACGGGAGGGGGGAGUGGUGACGGAGAGGGAUGGUGGCGGUGGCAGAGGCAGAGGAUGGGUGGGGGCAGGGCGGGGGGCGUCCCCACCUAGGAGUGGAGAGACUGUUGAUGUUCAGGCUGCCCAUCAGGGUAUGAGCCUGCCUCGCCCAGGCCUCAGUUUCUCCAUUUAUGAGUCUCCAUGCACCAGCUGUGCCCUGAGGAUCCUGGCUCCACCUCCGGCCAAAUUCAGUCUUGUCUUUACUGCCCACACUCGCAAGUCCAUGGCGGCCAACAGGAAAGGUUCUGUCCACUCCCCACCGUCUCCAGCUACAAUUGCUGCUCCGUAUUUCCACAUUUCCCUGGAAUUGAGUCCAUUUCGCCAGCCUCUGCUCAGAGGAGCCACCUCCCUUCCUACCACAUCACCCAGAAGCAUCGCUAGGUGCAGCCGCACUCCAGGAGGGGACUCCGUAGGCGUGUGCAUCCCUGGGGCCAUCUCAGGCUGCCAGGCAGACGCUAUGAUGAGGAGAAUGCAGAAGGAGCAGAGGGUGUCUUCUAGCUUCAGCCACCUCCAGCCAGGAGGACGAGGUCAGAGACCCCACACAGUCCCUGCGGACUCCAGGUCUUCUCACACCUGACUCAGAAAAAAGAGAAAUUCUUGGGCCACACCCGGGGCUUCUUGUGAUUUGCUUCUUCCUGCUGGAGCCUGAGUCCCUCUGAAGUGCCUGUGAGUUGUGGCUGCGUUCAUGUCUGUCCGUCAGCCAGAUGGUGGGUGCCGUGUCCCUGAACCUGGGUCUCCUGAGCCUGGGCCUCCCGCCGGCCUUUUACAACCUGUGCAUUCCCUCCAGACAGCUGCUCCUCACUCCCAGGACCCCUCUACCAGGGCACCAGCUAGGAGGGAGGCAGAGGGGCCAGGCACUGAGCAGGGGAGGGGCUGGCAGGGACCCUGUACCCGGCUCCUUGGAAAGGACACAGACCCAGAUGGAGCCCGUCCCCUCAACACCUGGCCCGGGCCCCUCCCCAGCUCUGCUAGAAUAAAUCCUCCUCUAACAACCUCCCGCUGCUCUCCCAGCGUCUGAAGAAUGAACACAGCUCCCCAUAACUUUCCAG